UAAUAACCACUGCAGCCAAGAAGAGUGCCUGAGGAGCCCAUUUCCUCAGAGCAACAAACCAGAUUAGAUGCUGUGGACUUGAGAAUUACACGGAGUGAAAGGCGCUGAGGAGCGCAAGUUGGAGGUGAUGACUCUGAGAGUGGAGCUGAAUAACAUUUGGGCUAAACUGCAGCUCCACAAUGAAACAGAACGGCUGCAGAAGAAUGAGUUCAGAGUUUUUUUAGGCAAGUUUGCUUUCUCUGUUGGUUUGAUCGAUCAGGUUGGACAGUUCAAGCUGGAGACAUCACUGAAAUUCAACAUUUGCAGUACUUACAAUGUAACUUCAGGCAGGUUCGUCGCACCAGCCAGAGGUCUACUACUUCAGAUUCACUGCCUUUGAUCACUGAAUUGGAAAACUCUGGUCUUCACCUUUACUGCAAUAACCAGAAAAUCAUUUCUAACUGGGAAAACAAGAAUAAUGAAGGCCAUUUGUACCUGUCAGAUGCAUUAACUCUUCAAAUAAAUGAGGGGGAGUUAGUGUACACGCACCUUCCCUCUGGGCACAGCCUUUAUGAUGAUCAAAAUAUUCCCAACACAUUAAGUGGUCUCUUAUAUUUCAGUCUUAAACGCCUCCCACGUGGCGGUCACGUUGUGCUGCCCAUUUAUGGUGACCCACGACAUAACUAAAUAUUUAAUGAUCAGCAAUUGGUGCUCCUGUCAUCCAAUGUUGUGCAUUAUAACAUAGACAAUUUUCUCUGCUAAAUUACCUGCGAUUAGCCUUCAGUGCGAGUUUUAUGAACUACAGGUUAAGGACAUAUGUUUACUCCGGCAACAUAGGCGAUUGCUUUGUUUUGAUGAGUUCAGCCUUUAAUUGCUUGUCUAGAGUCAUCUCAAGAUGAAAAACUCCACUGAAGCUGCACUUGAUCAAAGCUGCGCUAAAGUGAGGUCUGCAGCGAGUGAGUAAGAGAACAAAUAGCGAUUUCAAAUUCUGUAUGAAGUUUAUCCGCUAUGAUGCUCACUGGUAAAAAAUACUAGAAAUAAGACAGCUUUUGUGGCAGAGAUGUAUGGGAGUAAAGGGUAACACACGCAUUGGAUCAUCCACACAUGGAAAUAAAGUUUAGUUUAACAACGUAUCUGCAUUUGAAACAAAGAGAGCCCAGGUCUAGUUCUGUGAGGCUUUGAACUAAAUGCUGAUGUCAGCAUGCCAGCAUAGAGUACCUAUUACAAUGAGAGUGCUAAAAUGCUGAUGUAAGGUUUAAAUAGUGAACUAUCUGUGCCUUUUUACCUUAGCUGUUCUAUGGCACACUUAAAAAUACAUUUUGUUUUGUUUUUCCCCCCACCCAUUCACACAGACACCAGUGGAGCUCACCUGCUAUCAGGAGCAGCUUGGAGCUCAGCAUGAGCUACGUGAUUUACCAUGUUUGCUAUCAUUAGCAGAUUAGCAUGUUCUGUGUUUACUGUCUUUACAUCAAGCAUGAAAAACAAAGUGAAGCUAACGCUAAGAGGGUCAAAAAGGGCCAUCAGACAAUUUAAAAGUUAAACAAGUAAGAAGUAAAUCGGCGGGACAGUGAUGCCGUUUUUGAGGAGUGGACAUCACUUUUAUUUUUAUUGCGCAAAAGAGAAACUGCUAACACAACUUUGGCUCUUUGCAGCACGCUAGCACUAAGCUUCAGUCCAGCAACCAGAUACUGAACUUCAACAAGUAACAAAAAUAUUGAUGAGCAGUCUGUAGCUUCUCUGUCUGCCUGUUUUAAAGUAGAAUCCCUGCAGGCGAUCGCUAUGAAGUCUUUCUUCGUCUGUUUUUCGUCUUUGCCUUGUGUUGCUGGCUUUGUGUUCAUACGGGGUAAUGUUUUACAGCGCAACAAGAAAGUGAUGUAAUGAGUAGUGUAACAGAUUACUUUCUCUGGCUAAACAUAUUAAAUUACUUCUGAGAAAAGUAAUGUAUAAUCUGUAACACGUUACUUUUACUGAGUAAUGACACCAACACUGGUAAUAUCACGACAUUACUUACAGGCUUAAAGGCUAAACUACAGCAAGAUUUAAGUGAUCUAAAAAAAUUAAAGAUGUAUAAAAUGGGUAAUCACUUGAGUCUUAUAUAUCAACAGAAACACACGUCUGAUUGCAGCAAACAUCCAUUUGCAAUGACCGAGUCUUAUUGCAAAUGGCAA
Long non-coding RNA from Oreochromis aureus, 2147 nucleotides. RefSeq lists it as uncharacterized. The transcript has 4 exons. Lineage: Eukaryota; Metazoa; Chordata; Actinopteri; Cichliformes; Cichlidae. The record is from RefSeq and is a predicted model, not a curated record.